RNAcentral lists this small RNA (539 nucleotides) under Pongo abelii (Sumatran orangutan). Its description in RNAcentral is "retained intron". The record is from RNAcentral. Lineage: Eukaryota; Metazoa; Chordata; Mammalia; Primates; Hominidae.
GGACAUGGUGGCCGAGACCGGCGGGGUGGGGGACGUGUCGCGCGGCCGGGUGGCCUCGGUCGGUACCCUGGGCGCGGAGCAGCUGCCUCAUUAGUAUUCGUACCCACGAGGCGGCGCAGCGGGCCCUCGGGGAGAGCGAGCGUCGCGGCCAUGGCUUAUCACUCGGGCUACGGAGCCCACGGCUCCAAGCACAGGGCCCGGGCAGCCCCGGAUCCCCCUCCCCUCUUCGAUGACACAAGCGGUGGUUAUUCCAGCCAGCCCGGGGGAUACCCAGCCUCAGGAGCAGACGUGGCCUUCAGUGUCAGCCACUUGCUUGGGGACCCAAUGGCCAAUGUGGCUAUGGCCUAUGGCAGCUCCAUCGCAUCCCAUGGGAAGGACAUGGUGCACAAGGAGGUGUGGCCUGCCCCGGGGCACGGGUGGCAGAAUUUUUGGCUAGGGCUGGGGCAUCAUGGGAUUCCACCCGAUUCCUCACAGUGCCCUCAGGAAUGGAGCACACAGAGGGGCACCCUGAGGCCUGGGGUGCGGCUUGCCCACAGCCU